CCAUUGGCAUUGAGUCUGUCAGCCUCCUGUAUUAACUGGUGUUUGCUCCAUUCUGUAUCAAGUGAGCCAAGUAUGAAACAAAACCCAAACCUUUCCCUGUGAGGAGACCUGCUGUCAGCCGCAGGUGGUUAGGGCUCCCGCUGCCAGUGCCUGGGCUCCCAGUGCCAACCCCAGCUGGUUGGGCUUCCCCUGCCAGCCUGGAAAGUGAGAGGGGGACCCCACUUCAUCCCCCACCCCAGGCCUGGGGAGGGUGAAGAACCCUAUAGGAUUAGAGGAAGGAGUCCCAUCCUCUGCUCAGGAAAUGCUGUAUAGCAUCCUCAUCAGGAGUCAGGACCUGUUGUUGCACCAACAGCAUCACUGGGGCAAUAUGGUUGAGGGUACCAAUUCAUGAGCCAGUCCUAGCAGCACUUGGUACAGGACCCAAGAGGGAGAAGA
Molecule: long non-coding RNA, 435 nt
Organism: Mauremys mutica (yellowpond turtle)
Lineage: Eukaryota; Metazoa; Chordata; Testudines; Geoemydidae
Exons: 3
Source: RefSeq, a predicted model, not a curated record